Non-coding RNA from Phascolarctos cinereus (koala), 336 nucleotides. NCBI's taxonomy places the organism in Eukaryota, Metazoa, Chordata, Mammalia, Diprotodontia, Phascolarctidae. The record is from RefSeq and is a predicted model, not a curated record.
UUUUCUAGAGGUUUAGCAGCAAAGGGGAAGAGAGAGGAAGAUAGUUCAUGAGAAGCGGCUUCUAUCUUUUCAGUAAAGUCAUGUAAGAUCACUUGCUGAGCAAGAGGAAUACAAGGUUGGAGUUGGGGGCCAGAAGAGAAAGGAGGUUUGGACUCAUCACUGUGGAGAAUGGGAGGCAAGUUUCAGAAAGGGGUGCUCCUUUAUCACCCAAAGGGCCAGAUUCCCAGCAAGCAACUGGAAACCAGCACUUCUUACUGCAUCAGUUAAAGAGACUGCCAGAAGAGACCUCCUUGGGUGAGAUUGCAUCUUUUCUCUUGGUUCAGUUGAAGAACUCAU